Zea mays is the source of this 3459-nucleotide long non-coding RNA. RefSeq lists it as uncharacterized. Lineage: Eukaryota; Viridiplantae; Streptophyta; Magnoliopsida; Poales; Poaceae. The transcript has 9 exons. The record is from RefSeq and is a predicted model, not a curated record.
CUCUAGAGAGUUCCAGGGAUAUCUCUCUCCAUCCGUCGGGUGUCCCUUCCUCUCCCAGUUCUUUCUCGCUUUUUCUCCUCUCUGCUUUUCUUUGUUACCGUCGGUGUCGGGAAUUCCGCUUCCGCACAAAUAUUUCUUUUGCUGUCAGCUUGCUCAACGGUUCUGUUUGUUUGGUGAGAUGUGUUCCUCUUUCUCCUUUGUUGUGAGUUUCCAUUUGGUAGGCAUCCUUUUCCAGAUUCCUUCGUGGAUUAGAUCCACGCUCCUCUCGUCGAGAUCGUCUUGCUUUUUUUCUGAGAUGGAGAUUGGGACCGAAAAGGCAAGUAUUUUUCUUUGGUAGUUUUGGCAUGUGCAGAUAGAUCAGAAAGUGCUUCUACAGUUUACCUCAUUUAACUCUAUUUUGGAGAUUGAAACUGAAAAGGCAAGUAUUUCUUUUUGGUAAAGUCUUUCGCAAGUGGACAUCUAGUUCCAAAUUUUUUUAAAGGGAUCUGGUUCCAAAUUCAUGCUUGGACCUGCCAGGAUUCUAUUGUUUUUGGCGUAUCCUCUUGCUUUGGUACAUGUAGAUCAGCAAGCAAAUGUUUUUUUAUUUCAUUUAAUUUCAAUGAGUGCAGGUGACGUUCUGUUUGUACUUUAUUGAACUUCAUUAUACUAUUUUCUUUUGGUAAAGUUGUUCGCAUCAAGUGCAUGUUGCAUUCUUUUUAGUUUUUAACGGUUCUGCUUUCAGCUUGCUCUUGGGUGCAUUUAUUUUUUAGCUGUGUUUCCAUUCCUCCAACUGUGUUUUCAUUCUUCCUUUGUCGACCAUUUCGACUUUGUGGACAACUAAUUUCCUUUGGGUGAAAUGAUCUGCACGAAGUUGAGACUUCGCUUUAUUUUGUUUAUGGACGCAUCAAGAUUCCAACACGCCGUUAUUUUUCUUCGCUGGUUUAGUAAUGAGGAAAUCCCUUUUACGGCCCUAAUUUUAGGGUUUAGAGUUUUAACUGAUAUUUUUUUAAAAGUUGUUCCUCUCUGGUCCCAACUCCAUACUAUGGUGUGUAAAUUUGCCGCAUCGCUUUUUUUUUCUGGAAAGCUCUAAAAAUAAGGAAAUUAUUUGCACAGUUUUUUAAUAAAAGAUAGCAUCUUGCACGGUUGCUUUUUAGAGAAAGAAAAGUAACCAAAUUCGGUUUUGUCCAAAUUAGUUUCAAUUUGAUACUUUCUCACGUUUUACUUCAUGUUUUUAUCGUUUGGGUUUACUAAAUUGCUUAGAGUUCAACAUCUUUCCCUCAGAACUCACUUUUUUUGUCUUUGUUCGACUUUCAUAGAAUUAGAUACAAUUUCCUGCUCGUUCCACACAAAUUUCCUCCUCUCAUUGUUUUUAUGUGAGUUUCCUUAGAUCAAUACGUGUAGCCAGGUCAACACAUACAGGUUGUGUUUGUUGCUACGUAAAGAAUGUCAUCUAGGCACGAGGACUACUAUCUCUAAUCAUUGGAGCUUUGUUUGGCAAGGUCAACCAUACCUAAGGGGUACUACAACAAGUUCAUGAUACUUCAAGCCUGGAAUUCCUGAGGCGCAUACCUACUACAACAGGCAAAACAAAAUAAAUUUUGGAUACAGUUCCUUCUAACACUCACUAUUUUUAUACCACAUUUCAAAUCUGCUCCUCUCUAAUCUUAUACCCAUAGUUAGCUAACAGUUUAAUAAACAACAGUCUACUAAGCUAGCAGUAGCAAUAUUUAAACUAAAAUUGUAAAUAAACCUUGUUUUUUACCAUUACCUCUUUAUAUAUUACAUUCAGACCAGUUUGGUCUCCCUCUUCAGACAAUAUUCAAUACUUAUAUUUAUUUUUUAACUAAAACUAAUAGCCACGGUUUCAUUUCGUUUUUUCUAUAAACAAAUCACUGAUAGAUGUUACUGCAAAAGAAAAAUCGCAGCUGACUAGAAUCAGUGUCUACAAAACAGUUCAUUUUUAAACGGUGUUAUAAUUGCUUGUAUUUCUUAGACACUAUUUCAAUUUUUUUAAAUGAUGAUACAUGCUAUCCUCUUUUUCCUAAAGCGGGUUACAGGACAUCCUAUUGUCUUCAAAUUUUUUUAAAUAAAAGUAUUGUUCAUACUACUCAUGCACAACUUCAAUACAAAACAAAUUAAGGUACACACCCUCUCCUUUUUUGAUUGAACUCUUAGGAUACCAUGUUCUCUUUAAAAAACCAAAAAAAUAUUUAGAUGUUGAGCCAAUCGUUCACAUCACACUGUUUACGCCAAAAUAGAAAAUAUAAGAGGAACUUUAACAAAAAAUACUAAAACUAAGUCUUAUCUGAUCAUGGUUGUGACAUCACUUGAAGGUUGCAAAACAAUGACCUCCAACUAAUACAACCCACAACAGCUGAAGAAGAAAUUCAGCUUUCUCAACCACCAAAUUUGGAAGACAAGACCGUUGAAAAGCUGCUCAACAUAGAUCCGGAUAUGUUUCCCGCAGAAGGCUAUAGAUGUAUUGUUACUAUAUCACGCAUCGUGCAAAAUAGCAGAUGGUGGUACCCAUCUUGCUCCAGGUGCCACAAAUCUUCAUCUCAAAUCUCAACUGGAUAUCACUGCACAUCAUGUGGCUGCACAAAUAUUAAGUUUAGAUACAAGCUCAGCUUCAUUGCUACUGAUGGAACAUGCGAAGCAGAGUUCUUUUUUUUGAUAGCAUAGCCAGAAAAAUAGUAGGAGAACCUUAGGGCAACCUUGUUACAGCAGUUACAACUUCUGAGAGUCCCAGCAGCCCUAGCCGCUAUUGUGUGUCUGAAAUUUACUCUUGCAGUUGCCAUCAAUAUGUCAGCCUACUAUGUCAUGAACAGAGUAUUCUCUAUUCUAUCUAUUUUAACAAAUCAUGGAAGACAGACCUUCAUACCAUCUAACAUGCCUAGCCAUCCUCAACAAGAGUUGUAUACACAAGAUGAAGUACCUAGCCUUCCGGUCGGCCACACAAGACUCUCCAGCAACAUCAAUGGCAAAACUAUCUACCUGUAGCAACGAAAGAAACGAGUCUAUUCAACAGGCACGAUGACGUGUUCUAAUAUAUUCAGAUAUGCCACAUGACACAGAGGGUGAUGACAGCGCAUAAGUGAACUCAACAAGCAAGAGAUAUCGUCACCACCAAAAUGGAUAAAACAUAGCCACACUAGCAAAGGCAUACCAGAUCUUACAAACCCCAAAAAGAAAAGCUCCUAAAUCGUCAUCAACUUCGUGAAGGUGUUUGCUUUUUGCGCACCUAUCAGGAGCACCAUCACUUUUGGAUCAUGAAUGCUUUCCUAUAGAUAUGAACCUACUGUUAUACUAUUUGUGGAUAUGUACAUAUUGACUUAACACCUGCAAGCACAUUGUUGCUAAGUGUUGAUGUAUGGUAGUUGAAUGCUACUUAGUAUGUAUUGUAGUCUAAAUCCACUCUACAGCUGGUAUCAACUAUUAUAUAAAAACAACGUCAUAUGCUUAUAUUUGGUUUCCUCCUUA